RNAcentral lists this ribosomal RNA (460 nucleotides) under uncultured bacterium. RNAcentral describes it as "partial 16S ribosomal RNA". It matches the Rfam family "Bacterial small subunit ribosomal RNA", at positions 338 to 795 of the family's 1533-position model. The record is from RNAcentral.
CCUACGGGAGGCUGCAGUGAGGAAUAUUGGUCAAUGGACGCGAGUCUGAACCAGCCAAGUAGCGUGAAGGAUGACUGCCCUACGGGUUGUAAACUUCUUUUAUAUGGGAAUAAAGUGUUCCACGUGUGGGAUUUUGUAUGUACCAUAUGAAUAAGGAUCGGCUAACUCCGUGCCAGCAGCCGCGGUAAUACGGAGGAUCCGAGCGUUAUCCGGAUUUAUUGGGUUUAAAGGGAGCGUAGGUGGAUUGUUAAGUCAGUUGUGAAAGUUUGCGGCUCAACCGUAAAAUUGCAGUUGAUACUGGCAGUCUUGAGUACAGUAGAGGUGGGCGGAAUUCGUGGUGUAGCGGUGAAAUGCUUAGAUAUCACGAAGAACUCCGAUUGCGAAGGCAGUUCACUGGACUGCAACUGACACUGAGGCUCGAAAGUGUGGGUAUCAAACAGGAUUAGAUACCCGAGUAGUC